AACGAACGCUGGCGGCAUGCUUAACACAUGCAAGUCGCACGAGAAGUAAUUCUAGUGGCGCACGGGUGAGUAACACGUGGGAAUCUGCCCUAAAGUCGUGGAUAACUACUGGAAACGGUAGCUAAUACAGGAUGUGCUGGAAACAGUAAAGUAGCAAUAUGCUUUAGGAUGAGCCCGCGGUUGAUUAGCUAGUUGGUAAGGUAAGAGCUUACCAAGGCAAUGAUCAAUAGCUGUUCUGAGAGGAAGAUCAGCCACACUGGGACUGAUACACGGCCCGGUCUCCUCCGGGAGGCAGCAGUGGGGAAUUUUGGACAAUGGGGGCAACCCUGAUCCAGCAAUGCCGCGUGAGUGAAGAAGGCCUUCGGGUUGUAAAGCUCUUUUACCGAUGAAGAUGAUGACGGUAGUCGGAGAAUAAGUUCCGGCAAACUUCGAGCCAGCAGCCGCCGUAA
This 449-nucleotide ribosomal RNA is filed under the name uncultured bacterium. RNAcentral's name for it is "partial 16S ribosomal RNA". It matches the Rfam family "Bacterial small subunit ribosomal RNA", at positions 29 to 523 of the family's 1533-position model. The record is from RNAcentral.